GGGUCGUUAGCUCAGUUGGUAGAGCAGUUGACUUUUAAUCAAUUGGUCGCAGGUUCGAAUCAUGCACGACCCACCA
This 76-nucleotide transfer RNA is filed under the name Escherichia coli. Its description in RNAcentral is "tRNA-Lys". It matches the Rfam family "tRNA". From Rfam's summary of the family: Transfer RNA (tRNA) molecules are approximately 80 nucleotides in length. The record is from RNAcentral. Lineage: Bacteria; Pseudomonadati; Pseudomonadota; Gammaproteobacteria; Enterobacterales; Enterobacteriaceae. RNAcentral also lists the same sequence under 2 other names.